GGUUUGCAAAGGGAGUAGCCUCCAGUCCUUCUGUUACUUAGGUGUGGAAAGUUGGGGUUUUCCUUUUGAUUUAGUUCUACGAAGUCAGAGUGAAUCAGCCUUAGGUUCCCUGCCUCCAGACCCUAUUCUCCUGCCUCACAAGAGUUGAAGAAAGACCACCAGUGAAAUGUUGAUAAGCCGAGGUAUAGAUGAGAAUCCCAAACUGAGACAGCUUAAGAAAUGUCCAGAGUCUUGUAACAAGUGAAAAUGUCAUAUGUCAUGAGGUCAUGUUGGAAAACCUUAAAGAGGAUAAAAGAUCUUCCACAAGCAACAGUACUUCCCCUUCCUGCUGCCAUGUGAAGAAGGACGUGUUUGCUUCCCCAUCUGCUGUGAUUAUAAGUUUUCUGAGGCCUCCUCAGCCCUGCAGAACUG
This is a long non-coding RNA of Homo sapiens (human), 411 nucleotides long. The record is from Ensembl. NCBI's taxonomy places the organism in Eukaryota, Metazoa, Chordata, Mammalia, Primates, Hominidae.